Molecule: ribosomal RNA, 400 nt
Filed under: uncultured fungus
Lineage: Eukaryota; Fungi
Description: SSU rRNA
Rfam family: Eukaryotic small subunit ribosomal RNA
Source: RNAcentral
GCAGUCUGGUGCCAGCAGCCGCGGUAAUUCCAGCUCCAAUAGUGUAUAUUAAAGUUGUUGCAGUUAAAAAGCUCGUAGUUGAACCUUGGGCCUGGCUGGCCGGUCCGCCUCACCGCGAGUACUGGUCCGGCUGGGCCUUUCCUUCUGGGGAACCCCAUGGCCUUCACUGGCCGUGGCGGGGAACCAGGACUUUUACUGUGAAAAAAUUAGAGUGUUCAAAGCAGGCCUUUGCUCGAAUACAUUAGCAUGGAAUAAUAGAAUAGGACGUGUGGUUCUAUUUUGUUGGUUUCUAGGACCGCCGUAAUGAUUAAUAGGGAUAGUCGGGGGCGUCAGUAUUCAGCUGUCAGAGGUGAAAUUCUUGGAUUUGCUGAAGACUAACUACUGCGAAAGCAUUUGCCAA